GAGGGUGCAGGGAGCGCCCCAUUAGGCCCGCAGAGACUACUUGGGCCAAAGCAAUCUCAGUAUGACUUCAGGAUCGAGGGCAGGUACCACUCGGAUCUGCCAAGGGCAUUUCGUCACUUCGGGGGCCCAUGCCAGUCCGAGCCUCGCCCGAGAUGGGACAGAGGCGCCCGGCGUAUUCAGCCAAGACGCCAGGCUUGGGAUGGGCAAGGGAGGACACGUGGAGCGCAGAGGCACAGGUGAAGCCGAGGGCACACUGCUGAGCAGGCGUAGGGCAAAGUUCUCGCUUCCUUGAGUACUGCCAACGUCCCGACUGUUAUUUAGAUGGGCGAACUGAGACACUAAGGGUUAACGUGCUGGCGAAGUGACUGCCGGGAUGUUUUGCCCAGAAACUGAGAAUGAUUGAAGGCAGAAGUAAGGCAGUCUAACCUUUGCAGGUCAAAAACCAGCUGGAAGGGCGGGACUUGGAGUUGUGGGUGCAAAACCUACCUGAGGUAUUUGGGUCUUAAGCUUGGUUUGUCCCCUCUUUUCAGACUCUGACUGGCCGGUGCUGGCAGGAGUCGGUUCGUACUGUAGUGCCCAUAGGCCAAAAGGCAGCAAUCCAUAGCAAACUUCAAAAUUCACCCUUAGACCUUAGACCGUGUGCGAAUACCGUACCCUGUAUGUAACAGCCUCCUUUGUUUUGACUUAAAAUUCAUACCGGCUGUCCAACCAUUGUCAGGUAAAAGCAGCUCAGGUCCAUUUUAGGAUUACCUGCCCCUAAGGGCAUUGGCCUUGGGGCUACUCUUAUCCCAGCUGAGAGGCUGUGGUUCUAAGUUAUGGGAACUGAUCAAAGGCUGUGCGAGGGAGGGUUGAUUUGCCUGGCGGGAGUAUGCCGGAUGGGUCAGCGGGAAGGAGAGUUGUGGCCUGAAGGCUGGUUGAACACUACCGUAAGCACCCGUGUGCUCUGCCACGUGUUAAGUUCAGGCCCCACAAUAUCCCAUCUUCUCUGCACCCGAAACGGGCACUUAGUAGCUGUGGAAAUACCCCACUUUGUCCCACACCCGGCACAGACCACCAUUUACCUAAAUUGCAGCUGGAAAGGGCUAUGAUCCAACUUGCCCUAAUUCUUCCCAAGCCCCUCCUGGAGUCUUAUCUGGUGGUUCUCUGGGUGUCCUCAGCCUGCCUAGACCUGCCAUAAGCCAUGACUUCUGAGCAAUCCAGGCUGCCUCAAAGCUGGUUUAAAGAUGCCUUUUCUAAUUCGAACUGCUUUGUGGUUUGCGUGCCCUCCCCCCACCCCCUCAAGAAUCCUUCCUCUAAGUGUUCACAGAUAAUAAAGUGUCAGGUGAUGAGCAAAUAUGAUGAUCUGUUAUUUGAUCUUAGGAAGAAAUGGAGCCUGGUGAGGUGGCACACACCUUUUGUCCCAGCACUCUGGAGGCAAAGGCCAAGGCAGGCACAUCUGUAAAUUUGAGGCCAGCCGAUCUAUACAGUGAAUUCCAUGACAGCCAGAGCAAUAGAGAGAGACCCUGUCUCAAAAAAAAGAAAAGAAAUAGAAUGGAAUCCUGACACUGCAAAAUUAAAAACACCCUAUGUGAUAUAAGACAAACCCAAAGGGACAGAUAUUAUAUAAUUUCACGUGUUUGUGUUGGAGGAGGCGACUCUCAUCUAGCCCAGGCCGGCCUUGAACUCUCUGUAGCUGAAGAGGAUGACUUUGAAUUAUGGAUUCUCCUGUCUCCACCUCCUGUGUGACAGAUGCCGCCGAAGAGACUCAGGAUCACGUGCAUUGAAGCUUCAGCAGAGAGCUAGAAGGGAACGAGAGACCACAUUAUUGAGAUCCUCAAAUACAGGAUGCUCAAACACUCUUGGAUGGCGAUGGCACAGCGAUGCUGUGUGCCCGACAACCAGCGCCAGCUUGUCAGCUUCCUGAUACUGAAAGCGCACGUGUGCUUCGAGCUCUAGCCUGGCUAUGCUGUGACAAGGACUGAAGAUUGAACCCAGGCCUCAUGCACGCGAGGCAAGUGUCUACCAUCGAGCUAUAGCCUCACCUCCACCACGCCCCAUUCAAAAAGCUGAUUUUUAAGGCGCAGUGUGUAUACACCGUGACGAGAAAGCAAAUGUACUUCCUGCAUUUGCUUAGGUUGUCUCUGGAAGCACAAGGAACUGGCAGCAGAGGUUGCUUCUGGGGUUCUCCAAGGGCCAUGAGGUUUAGGGGGAAAGGAUGUUAGUUUUAACUCCGUACACUUUUGUCCUGCUUGAGCUUUACUGACAUAAUCGUGUUUUUGUUUUAUUGGGAUUUUUUUUUUCAUUAAAAAAAAAAUUCUUACAUUUACUUAGUGUGUAACAAAUAGGUACUUAUGUGUAGGUCCUGGGGAUGAAACUCUGGCACUUAGCCAGUUGAGCCAUCUCGCUGUCCCUUUUUAAAAACUUUUCAGAGGCUGGAAAGAUGGCCCAGAGAUUAAGAGCAUUGGCUGUUCUUCCUAAGGUCCUGAGUUCAGUUCCCAGCAACCACAAGGUGGUUCGCAACCCUCUACAGUGAGAUCUGGUGCCCUCUUCUGGUGCACAGGUGUACAUGCAGGCAGGACGCUGUAUAAAUAAUAAAUAAAUUAAUCUUAAAAACUUUCAGGGAGGGUCUCAUAUAGCUCAGGCUGACCUCAAAUUUGUUAUGUAGCUGAGGACAGACUUGAACACUUGAUCCUCCUGACCUUCCAAGCCUUGGGGCUACACUUGUGUGCUACCCUACCAGCAAAACCAGGUAUGUUAAAUAAACUAAAUAGAAAAAAAAAUUUUCAGCUCCAUAGCAAGGAUGAUCUGGAGAGCACUAGCAGAGGAACAGAAUGCACCUUCUCUCUGGAGACAGCAGAUUAGACACUCAGGACAUGCUUUCUUUCUAGCAAUGAAGGACUAACUCAGCAGUGGUUGCUGGAGAGGUGAUUAAGUCACAGGAUGUUAUAGUUGGAAGGGACUUGAUUGCCACACCUUAGAUACAAAGUCUUUUGUUGUUGUUUUGAGACAAGUUUUCUCUGUGUGGCGCUGGCUGUCUUGGAACUUGCUCUGUAGACCAGACUGGCCUCAAACUCACAGAGAUCCACCUGCCUCUGCCUCUCGAGUGCUGGGAUUAAAGGGAUUCAUCACCACCACCCAUCUGACAUUAAUUACGAGGUCUUAAGUGAGUUUACUGAAGCCAAGAGAGAAGCAAUUUGCCUCAAGCCAGCCAGCAUGAGCCCCUCACAGGACUGCUGUGGAGGAAGCAGAAAUGGCCUGGAGAAGCUACCAUUCCCCUCUGCCCUUCUAUACAUAGAAGACUGGGAAAACAGCAUCAUAGACAAGCUGAGUUCUAUAACCAUCCAUAUAUAUAUAUACUUAUAUACAUAUAUAUAUACAUAUUUAGAUCUAUCAAGGAAAAUUUGGAAAGUGAUGGAAAUUGUAGAGAGAGGCAGACUUACUCUCUUUGGGCCUCAUUCUUGAGAAUGACAAGGUAUGUUUGGACUCUAGAGUCCUCUAGACCAGUAGUUGGUGAAUUAUGGGUCGUGAGCCGUAACUGGCCGACCCUUUUAUUUUGUUUUUACAAAUAAAGUUUUGUUGGGAUAUAGCCAAGUUCAUUCACUUAUACACGGACAUGGCUGCUUUUGUGUUAAAAAAUGUCAGAAGUGAACAGUUUCAACAGAGACACUGUCGACAAAGCUUAAAAUAGAUGCUAUUUGUCUCUCAUUGAUAAGCUUUGUUGACGCUUAUUCUAGAUCAGGCUUGGAGAAGUGAGCCAAGUGGCUUAGAAUUAUUGGCUUAUGGCCGGUUACACACAAAUGCCUGUGUUUCGGCCCUGGUCAGCCGACAACUUUUUGAGGAGAGCCAUGCUUUGGCUUCCUAACCCAUGGGCGCUCAGUUUCUGCCCUGUGAUCAGCCGCCAUCUCGAAUGAUUCCUGGGCAGAAGGGAGAACCAGUGUGGAGCUGAUCCCUUCCUUAAGCCAGGGCUUAGUCAAACCUUGUCUUUUUGGAGAACCCGAAGCUACCUCCAGCUCUCCCAUGGUUAGCUCUCACAGAGACUAAACUUAGGAAACCACACUCCACAGCUGGCAAGUAGCUUGAGUGGCAGGAAGGGAAAGAAUGCAGCAGAGCGCUCACUUGGGGGCUCCUCCGUCAUGACUGAACUUGGGAGUUUUUCUAGCCAUUUCCCUUCCUCACCAGAACGCACUGACACAAUCGCUGUAAACCACAGUGAGGGGACUUUUAGGGACCACUCUUACCUGUGGUACUGGCGCUUGGGCUGUUUGGUGAAAGAGGGGUGCUUAUGGAAAUGCCUGCUGAGGUAGAUUCUCAAAUCGGCCCCGUGGGAGAACCAGCCAGGUUAGGAACCAAGGAGGGGUUGGCAUCACUACCUGGAGCUCUUACCUGGAGAGGGUGGCUCUGUGGCAUUGGGAGGCUGAGUUGUCCCCGAGGGCAGAGAUGAAUUACCGUCGGGCUGAGUUAUACCCCCUGGAGGACUGGUACUGCUGGGAUCCACGGAGGAGUUGGCAUCGAUAUUUGGAGACGUUACUAGAGGAGGCUGUGUGGAUGUAUUGGUAGGCUGGUUAGUCCCCUGUCCGUCAGGAGGCUGAGUUGUCUCUGAGGGCACAGAUGAAUUAUUGUCAGGCUGAGUUGUCCCCUCUGGAGGACUGGUACUGCUGGGAUCCACGGAGGAGUUGGCAUCGAUAUUUGGAGACGUUACUAGAGGAGGCUGUGUGGAUGUAUUGGUAGGCUGGUUAGUCCCCUGUCCGUCAGGAGGCUGAGUUGUCUCUGAGGGCACAGAUGAAUUAUUGUCAGGCUGAGUUGUCCCCUCUGGAGGACUGGUACUGCUGGGAUCCACGGAGGAGUUGGCAUCGAUAUUUGGAGACGUUACUAGAGGAGGCUGUGUGGAUGUAUUGGUAGGCUGGUUAGUCCCCUGUCCGUCAGGAGGCUGAGUUGUCUCUGAGGGCACAGAUGAAUUAUUGUCAGGCUGAGUUGUCCCCUCUGGAGGACUGGUACUGCUGGGAUCCACGGAGGAGUUGGCAUCGAUAUUUGGAGACGUUACUAGAGGAGGCUGUGUGGAUGUAUUGGUAGGCUGGUUAGUCCCCUGUCCGUCAGGAGGCUGAGUUGUCUCUGAGGGCACAGAUGAAUUAUUGUCAGGCUGAGUUGUCCCCUCUGGAGGACUGGUACUGCUGGGAUCCACGGAGGAGUUGGCAUCGAUAUUUGGAGACGUUACUGCAGAAGCAGGCUGCGUGGAUCCAGCAGGAGUCUGGGCAGACGUCUGUCCAUCAGGAGCUGUUCCCAAGGAUGCAGAUGCGCUAUUACCAUUGGACUGAGCUGUCACAGGUCUUGCUAUAGAGUCCAUCUGGCCUCAAACACAUAAUCUUCCUGAGCGCAGGACUAAGGCCAGAAGAGGAGCACCGGUAUGAGGCCUAACCCACACUGGAGCUGCUCUUUUGCGCAGAUGAUCUCCAAUUUCAAGUGUUGGUGAAAACAGAGAUAUUUCCCCUGUUCUGGGCCUGGCUCUCUGAUGAUCACGGGAACAAAUCCAGCUUGCUACAGUAGGGUACCUGACCCUUGAAAUAGCAAAUCAUCGUUAUUCAACUUCAGACGACCCUUUGCCCUGCCGAAGUCCUCUGCCCUGUCCCGAAGUAAGCCAGAGACGUCUUUUGCUGCUGUUGUCUUUUCCGUCACAAAUGAAAAGACCAGCAUCACUGAGCUGAGCUGGGCAAGGAAUUUCACUCACAGAACGGUCCCAAUCGAGACUACCAGUAGCUAAGCUGUAAGAAGCGGCAGGUGAAAGCCUGAUGUUUCUCUCUGAGACUGCAAAGCUGGCCAAGUAAUCAAGUUACAACAAGAACAACGUUUUCUUACCCUCGAUCACCAAAAGGAGGCUGAGAGAGACAAGCAGGAAGGCUUUCAUGUUAGCUGCUCUUGCUAGAUCGUCUGAGGAGGAAA
Molecule: long non-coding RNA, 5913 nt
Organism: Meriones unguiculatus (Mongolian gerbil)
Lineage: Eukaryota; Metazoa; Chordata; Mammalia; Rodentia; Muridae
Exons: 6
Source: RefSeq, a predicted model, not a curated record